Molecule: unclassified non-coding RNA, 171 nt
Filed under: uncultured Trichoderma
Lineage: Eukaryota; Fungi; Ascomycota; Sordariomycetes; Hypocreales; Hypocreaceae
Description: sequence contains ITS1
Source: RNAcentral
UAUCGAGUUAUUCAACUCCCAAACCCUAUGUGAACUUACCACUUGUUGCUUCGGCGCGCGCUUCGGCGCCCCAGGACACUUAAACUCUUUGUUUUUAUAAGCAUUUCUGAGUGGCCGAAAGGCAAAAAUACAAAUGAAUCAAAACUUUCAACAACGGAUCUCUUGGUUCUG